GUCUUCGUGGCCUAGUUGGUUAGGGCGUAGGUCUCAUACGUAUGCACCAACGAUCCCGUUUGACGGGAAUCAACCUACGAGCUUGUUGAAGUUCUGAAAUCCUAAGAUCGCGAGUUCGACUCUCGCCGAGGACA
Molecule: non-coding RNA, 134 nt
Organism: Melanopsichium pennsylvanicum
Lineage: Eukaryota; Fungi; Basidiomycota; Ustilaginomycetes; Ustilaginales
Source: the annotation of a GenBank genome assembly